This 465-nucleotide ribosomal RNA is filed under the name Vreelandella stevensii. RNAcentral's name for it is "partial 16S ribosomal RNA". It matches the Rfam family "Bacterial small subunit ribosomal RNA", at positions 338 to 795 of the family's 1533-position model. Lineage: Bacteria; Pseudomonadati; Pseudomonadota; Gammaproteobacteria; Oceanospirillales; Halomonadaceae. The record is from RNAcentral.
CCUACGGGAGGCAGCAGUGGGGAAUAUUGGACAAUGGGCGAAAGCCUGAUCCAACCAUGCCGCGUGUGUGAAGAAGGCCUUCGGGUUGUAAAGCACUUUCAGUGGGGAAGAAAGCCUUGGGGCUAAUACCCUCGAGGAAGGACAUCACCCACAGAAGAAGCACCGGCUAACUCCGUGCCAGCAGCCGCGGUAAUACGGAGGGUGCGAGCGUUAAUCGGAAUUACUGGGCGUAAAGCGCGCGUAGGCGGUCUGAUAAGCCGGUUGUGAAAGCCCCGGGCUCAACCUGGGAACGGCAUCCGGAACUGUCAGGCUAGAGUGCAGGAGAGGAAGGUAGAAUUCCCGGUGUAGCGGUGAAAUGCGUAGAGAUCGGGAGGAAUACCAGUGGCGAAGGCGGCCUUCUGGACUGACACUGACGCUGAGGUGCGAAAGCGUGGGUAGCAAACAGGAUUAAAUACCCGUGUAGUC